Hydra vulgaris (swiftwater hydra) is the source of this 616-nucleotide long non-coding RNA. RefSeq lists it as uncharacterized. Lineage: Eukaryota; Metazoa; Cnidaria; Hydrozoa; Anthoathecata; Hydridae. The record is from RefSeq and is a predicted model, not a curated record.
AUGGCAUUUACGUCGAUCUAAACGUUUAGGAAUCAAUUCUAAACGUGUUCUUAAAUUAGUUUCGUUCAAAAUGUGUCGGACGUUUUGAAUCUUUCAUUAUGAUUAAAAAUUUGAGUUUCUUUUUAAUCUUAAAUUAUGUAAUAAAUGGUUUAGAAAAGAUAAAAAAAAAUUGUUUUUAGUAUUAUAUUGUGGCUAAUGAAGCAGUUAAAAAGUCCUAUUGUUAUGAGGAUUGCAAAAACCCAUUAGUACUUGCAAAGUCUCCUUUUCUGUAAGCCCGAAAAUCGAGUUCUAAAAUACCAUUAUUCACAUAACUACUAUAUCAAAGCACAAACUAAUGGAUUGAUCAAAAAAGAGAUUGUAUGACUUCGGUAUCCGCAAUACAGUAUCGUGUAUUGAAUUCCAUCUUAGAAUGGCUCCCUUCCGUAUAGGUGGAAAUAGGAAUGAUUAUGUCCUUUUUUCUAAUUCUUAAAACGAAGAGGCUUAAUCGGUUCAAACAAAGAUGACGAUGAUCAUUAUGGAACCGAUCAUGAUGACGAAUACGAUAAUGCAUAUAAUAAUAAAUAAAACGAUUUUACUUGUAUCUUAGACUUAUAUAAAUAAAAAAUUAUCUGUUUAA